AUUUGGUGAAGAAGUACUUAAUAAAUAAUAAUGAAAGAGCUGAUUUCAGAUUACAACAUAAACACAAAGUAAAUAAUUGACCUGAAAGUAAAUAACUACAAUUACCAUUUCAAAGGAAGUAGGUACCUACAAGUAUGUACCUAGAAAUGUUAUUGAAAAAGUGUUGGAAGUCAAAGAUGUUUGUCAAAGCAAUUAAAUCCUAUUAAUGCAGGUAAAAUUAUUUAAAGUUAUUGUGGAACAUUACAAAACGUACCAAAUGAUUACAAAGGUAAAGUUUCAGAAGGUUUAUAACCAGAUGCAGAUUAAUAAGAUGACCUUAAUGUUAUUGAAAAUAGACCAUUUGACCAAAAUUAGUGUCGAAGGGGAGAAGAAAAAAUAAGAUAUGCAUUUUUUCAGCAAUAUUUUAAUGUAUAACUUUAUAAAUAAAAAUGUUUAAUUGGAAAA
Diabrotica virgifera virgifera (western corn rootworm) is the source of this 444-nucleotide long non-coding RNA. RefSeq lists it as uncharacterized. The record is from RefSeq and is a predicted model, not a curated record. The transcript is spliced from 2 exons. Lineage: Eukaryota; Metazoa; Arthropoda; Insecta; Coleoptera; Chrysomelidae.